GCUAGUUGUAUUAUUAGUUAAUGCAAGAUCGACUACGUCGACUAAAGUUCUAGGUAGAAUAAUGAUGAUGACAAUUUUUUACCUAUAUGUCUUGACCAAGUCUCGUGCCAGCAGUCGCGGUAAUACGUGGAAGACUAGUGUUAUUCAUCUUUAUUAGGUUUAAAGGGUACCUAGACGGUAUUUCUAGCCCAAAAUAGGGUACGGAUUUACUAGAGUUUUAUGUGAGGAGGGGAGUACUCGUGGAGUAGAGAUGAAAUUUUGUUAUACUAUGAGGUAACUGGUGGCGGCGAAAGCAACCUUCUAUGUAUAAACUGACGUUGAGGGACGAAGGCUUGGGUAGCAAAUAGGAUUAGAUACCCUAGUAGUCCAAGCAGACAAUUCUGAAUGCCAUAGAUUAGAUUAUUUUUGGUCUAUAAAUGAAAGUGUAAGCAUUCCACCUUAGGAGUAAUGUGGCAACACAGGAACUGAAAUCAUUAGACCGUUUCUGAAACCAGUAGUGAAGUAUGUUAUUUAAAUAGAUGGUCCACAAAAAACCUUACCACAACUUGAAUAUUUUUUUUUUUAAUUAAUACAAGCGUUGCACGGCUGUCUUCAGUUAAUGUCGUGAAAUUUUGGUUAACUCCAUUAAUUAACGUAAACCCUUACUUUAUU
RNAcentral lists this ribosomal RNA (651 nucleotides) under Acarospora tenebrica. RNAcentral describes it as "SSU rRNA". It matches the Rfam family "Bacterial small subunit ribosomal RNA", at positions 385 to 1115 of the family's 1533-position model. Lineage: Eukaryota; Fungi; Ascomycota; Lecanoromycetes; Acarosporales; Acarosporaceae. The record is from RNAcentral.